GUUCCGGUAGCUCAGCAGGAAGAGCAGCAGCCCAUUGAAGCAGCAAGUGGGCGGUUCAAGUCCGCCCCGGAACA
RNAcentral lists this transfer RNA (74 nucleotides) under Caudoviricetes sp. RNAcentral's name for it is "tRNA-OTHER". It matches the Rfam family "tRNA". From Rfam's summary of the family: Transfer RNA (tRNA) molecules are approximately 80 nucleotides in length. The record is from RNAcentral. Lineage: Duplodnaviria; Heunggongvirae; Uroviricota; Caudoviricetes.